This 300-nucleotide ribosomal RNA is filed under the name uncultured Gammaproteobacteria bacterium. RNAcentral's name for it is "bacterial SSU rRNA". It matches the Rfam family "Bacterial small subunit ribosomal RNA", at positions 115 to 418 of the family's 1533-position model. The record is from RNAcentral. Lineage: Bacteria; Pseudomonadati; Pseudomonadota; Gammaproteobacteria.
GCUUGGGGAUCUGCCUUUAGGUGGGGGAUAACUACUGGAAACGGUAGCUAAUACCGCAUGAUAUCUACGGAUCAAAGAUAGCCUCUGUAUAUGCUAUCGCCUAGAGAUGAACCCAAGUGGGAUUAGGUAGUUGGUGAGGUAACGGCUCACCAAGCCGACGAUCCCUAGCUGGUCUGAGAGGAUGAUCAGCCACACUGGAACUGAGACACGGUCCAGACUCCUACGGGAGGCAGCAGUGGGGAAUAUUGCACAAUGGGCGCAAGCCUGAUGCAGCCAUGCCGCGUGUGUGAAGAAGGCUUU